This 226-nucleotide unclassified non-coding RNA is filed under the name Hevea brasiliensis (rubber tree). Lineage: Eukaryota; Viridiplantae; Streptophyta; Magnoliopsida; Malpighiales; Euphorbiaceae. The record is from RNAcentral.
UUAAAAGCCCUAUGGCUGACACAGCCACAGAGAUAUCGAUAUCAUCAGCAAGUUCGAUCAUUCUGUUGCAAAAUCUUUCCGUGAAAAGCCCUAGUGAUGGCACGUUAUCAUCAACUUCAUAAAGACUCUGUAAGGCAAGAACCGAAGUUUUCCGAACACCAGCACUUUUGUCGUUCAGCGUCCAGCCUAGAUAUUUUAAGUAUAAAUCUUGUAAGAAUAGUGAAGG